GCUGGGCGUGGUGGCUCAUGCCUGUAAUUCCAGCACUUCGGGAGGCUGAGAUGGGAGGAUUGCUUGAGCCCAGCAGUUCGAGGCUGCAGUGAGACUUGAUAAUGCCACUGCACUCCAGCCUGGGUGACAGAGUGAGACCCCAUCUCUU
This is an unclassified non-coding RNA of Macaca mulatta (Rhesus monkey), 148 nucleotides long. It matches the Rfam family "Metazoan signal recognition particle RNA". Rfam says of the family: The signal recognition particle (SRP) is a universally conserved ribonucleoprotein. It is involved in the co-translational targeting of proteins to membranes. Lineage: Eukaryota; Metazoa; Chordata; Mammalia; Primates; Cercopithecidae. The record is from Ensembl.